This 548-nucleotide long non-coding RNA is filed under the name Felis catus (domestic cat). Its description in RNAcentral is "lncRNA (ENSFCAG00000045444.2)". The record is from RNAcentral. Lineage: Eukaryota; Metazoa; Chordata; Mammalia; Carnivora; Felidae.
AUGAGUACUCAUUUAAAAUUUUUCUAUCUUGCAGGAGUGAUUGAAGAGAUCACAGAUGGUAGGAGGAGCAGUUGUGUGCUGCUAACCAUAGAGGUCUCCCCUGUCUACAGAAACCUAAUUGAACAGGACGUGCAAGUAGGAAAUGUUCAGCAUGUUAUUUGCAUCACCUCAUGGAGUUCCUGUUCAUGGUGCAGACUUUGUGAACAAAUCCCACAGGACCCUCAAUCUGUCCAGCUCUUGGGGAGAAUACCCUUCCUCGGGGAAAAGAAGGCUUUUGAGGAACAACACAGAAGAGUGAUGAAGUGUCAUCAAGGCUGGCUUCGUCGGUUGGGAUCGGAGUCAGAAAGGAAAGGCAAGUGGGUAUGUACGAGGGACCCCUGGGAGAGGAGGCUCACUUGUCACGCACACAGUGACACUAACUAAACAUUCCAAGGAGGAAACACGGACAAUUGUGUCUUGUUCUGCUACGAAAUUGCAUUUCCCUGUCAAGAAUAUUAGAUCUCCUGCAAGUUAAUAAAAAUCACAAUAUCAUUAAUUUUAGAGCUGCA